CACAAGCAGUGGAGUAUGUGGUUUAAUUCGAAGCAACGCGAAGAACCUUACCAGGGCUUGACAUCCCUUGAAGCAGCUAGAGAUAGCUGUGUCCUUCGGGACAAGGAGACAGGUGGUGCAUGGUUGUCGUCAGCUCGUGUCGUGAGAUGUUGGGUUAAGUCCCGCAACGAGCGCAACCCCUAUUGUUAGUUGCCAUCAUUCAGUUGGGCACUCUAGCGAGACUGCCGGUAAUAAACCGGAGGAAGGUGGGGAUGACGUCAAAUCAUCAUGCCCCUUAUGACCUGGGCUACACACGUGCUACAAUGGUUGGUACAACGAGUUGCGAGUCGGUGACGGCGAGCUAAUCUCUUAAAGCCAAUCUCAGUUCGGACUGUAGGCUGCAACUCGCCUACAUGAAGUCGGAAUCGCUAGUAAUCGCGGAUCAGCACGCCGCGGCGAAUACGUUCCCGGGCCUU
RNAcentral lists this ribosomal RNA (455 nucleotides) under uncultured Streptococcus sp. Its description in RNAcentral is "bacterial SSU rRNA". It matches the Rfam family "Bacterial small subunit ribosomal RNA", at positions 924 to 1382 of the family's 1533-position model. Lineage: Bacteria; Bacillati; Bacillota; Bacilli; Lactobacillales; Streptococcaceae. The record is from RNAcentral.